This 687-nucleotide ribosomal RNA is filed under the name uncultured Bacillus sp. RNAcentral describes it as "bacterial SSU rRNA". It matches the Rfam family "Bacterial small subunit ribosomal RNA", at positions 28 to 698 of the family's 1533-position model. Lineage: Bacteria; Bacillati; Bacillota; Bacilli; Caryophanales; Bacillaceae. The record is from RNAcentral.
GACGAACGCUGGCGGCGUGCCUAAUACAUGCAAGUCGAGCGAAUCUUGAGGUGCUUGCACCUCUUGGUUAGCGGCGGACGGGUGAGUAACACGUGGGCAACCUGCCUGUAAGACUGGGAUAACUUCGGGGAACCGGAGCUAAUACCGGAUAAUCCUUUUCCUCUCAUGAGGAAAAGCUGAAAGUCGGUUUACGCUGACACUUACAGAUGGGCCCGCGGCGCAUUAGCUAGUUGGUGAGGUAACGGCUCACCAAGGCGACGAUGCGUAGCCGACCUGAGAGGGUGAUCGGCCACACUGGGGCUGAAAAACGGCCCAAACUCCCCCGCUGGCGAAAGUAGGGAAUCUUACCCAUUGAAAGAGGGUAAAACGGAGCAACCCCCCCUGAGCGACGAAGGAAUUCCGGUCGUAAAGCUCUGUUGAUAGGGAAGAACAAGUAUCGGAGUAACUGCCGGUACCCUGACGGUACCUAACCAGAAAGCCACGGCUAACUACGUGCCACCAGCCGCGGUAAUACGUAGGUGGCAAGCGUUGUCCGGAAUUAUUGGGCGUAAAGCGCGCGCAGGCGGUCCUUUAAGUCUGAUGUGAAAGCCCACGGCUCAACCGUGGAGGGUCAUUGGAAACUGGGGGACUUGAGUACAGAAGAGGAAAGCGGAAUUUCCACGUGUAGCGGUGAAAUGCGUAGAGAUG